This 528-nucleotide ribosomal RNA is filed under the name Hovops sp. SCC-2010. Its description in RNAcentral is "partial 16S ribosomal RNA". The stretch from base 98 to 395 matches the Rfam family "Bacterial large subunit ribosomal RNA", at positions 2074 to 2646 of the family's 2925-position model. The record is from RNAcentral. Lineage: Eukaryota; Metazoa; Arthropoda; Arachnida; Araneae; Selenopidae.
UUUAAUUGAAGACUAGAACAAAAGAUUAAACAUUUUAAUUAAUUUAUUUAAUUAAUCACUUAAAUUUUUCUUAAAUGUAACAAGACAUUUCUCUAAAAGAAAGACAACAAGACCCUAUUGAACUUUACUAAAGUUUAACUGGGGCAGUUAAUUAAUAAUCAUUUUAAUCAAAAUUAAAUAAAAAAAAUCCAAUAUCAUUGAUUAAUGACUUAGUUACCAUAGGGAUAACAGCGCAAUAAUCUUCCAUAGCCCUUAUAUAAAAGAAAGAUUACGACCUCGAUGUUGAAUUAAUUACCUUAUUUAAGCAAAAGAAAAUAAAGGAAGUCUGUUCGACUUUUAAAAAAUUACAUGAUUUGAGUUCAGACCGGUGUAAGCCAGGUCGGUUUCUAUCUUCUAUAUUCAUAUUUACAGUACGAAAGGACCUUAAUAACUAAUUUAAUUAUUAAAUUAGCAAAAAAUGCAUUAGAAUUAGAAUCUAAAAAAACUUUAAUCCUUUUAACCUUAUCCUUUCUACUUAUUACUAUUAGA